AUGGGUAGUGGGCAUUUUGUCGCUGAAGGGUAUGGAAAAGCAGCUUUUAUGAGAAACAUCCAGAUUGUUGACAUCCACAACAAGCUUGUCACUCCAAAUAGACACAAAGACCUUCUUGGAACUAGUGAUAAAACAAAAUAUAGUAUUGAUGGCUAUGUAGUUGAUAAUCAUGGUAUGCAUAUGUACUAUGGUGGACCAGGUAAUUUAGUCUGA
RNAcentral lists this ribosomal RNA (213 nucleotides) under Triticum aestivum (bread wheat). RNAcentral describes it as "partial small subunit ribosomal RNA". Lineage: Eukaryota; Viridiplantae; Streptophyta; Magnoliopsida; Poales; Poaceae. The record is from RNAcentral.